GAUCCCACUACUCCUGGUCCCAGGCUCUCAAGCCGCAGAAAACAGGCUUGCCCCCUCUUCAACGUGACAUCCCUUCAAAUAUUUAAACAUGGCUCUCAUGUCACCCCUUAACCUUCUCUUCUUCAAACUGAGAUGCUGAGUGUUAUAAGAAAUUUAGAAAGGGGGAUGCUUUAAGAGUAGCUUUUUGGUCUUUGUGUGAGGUACACUUCCGAAGAACUGAGAAUGCGUAUGUGGGGCUUAAUGGAAGCCAUAUUGAUUAUUCUGUGCAAUGUGCCUUUUUUGUAAUUUAAGGUGUGUGCAACAGUCAUGUGCUUCUAACUUUCCAGUUGAAUUAGUUUCCCGUUUUACUUUUGUGGCCCUCAAAAGUGAUCAGGAGGGUGAGUUGAGAUGUUCCUGGUCCAGAUUCGACAUUGGCCCGUGAAUUCUGAACGUCGUCACUUCGACAUUUGCCCAGGCCUCAUCUCAUAUAUUAACUGAUAUAUUUGUGGAGGAAAAUGCUCUAUAUCGCAACCGCCAGUGUUUAAGGUAUGUGUUAAAACUAGGAUUGCUCUAAGUUGGGCAAUGAAGAAGAAGAAGAAGAAGAAGAAGAAGAAGAAGAA
Sphaerodactylus townsendi is the source of this 599-nucleotide long non-coding RNA. RefSeq lists it as uncharacterized. The transcript is spliced from 5 exons. The record is from RefSeq and is a predicted model, not a curated record. Lineage: Eukaryota; Metazoa; Chordata; Lepidosauria; Squamata; Sphaerodactylidae.